GCUUCCCACUUCACAGAACUCAAGGACUAGAGAAGAGCAAAGUACUGGGCAAGAAGAGGUGCAGGCUGAAGUAGCCAUAAAUUUCACUUUUGUUCUACAUACUUUCAGGACUGGGAGUGGAUCUAGAGUGCACUCCACUGAUAUAAUUUGGGAGGUUAUGAGUGCAAGGUGGGCAGGAAGGUGAAGGACUGCCUUUCUUGAAACUGGUGUUUGAAGCCUCACUGAAUUCAAAACAACUACUGUGAAUCACCACAACUCCCUGUUUCUGGGGGUUCAUACUGGGAUCAGUAAACAGGAUAGAGUUUAUUAAUUACCAUGGAAAAGCAGCAGGGGAAGAAAUCCAGUUGGACUAGCCAGCCUUCACUACAUCCAAGAUUAGCAUGGAGGACCAGACCAGGUUACGCUGCAGCAUGUGGCCCAUUGUGAGCAAUUCUGUCUGCAGGUUUUGUCCCCAGCUGUAAG
Molecule: long non-coding RNA, 462 nt
Organism: Passer domesticus (house sparrow)
Lineage: Eukaryota; Metazoa; Chordata; Aves; Passeriformes; Passeridae
Exons: 3
Source: RefSeq, a predicted model, not a curated record